RNAcentral lists this ribosomal RNA (465 nucleotides) under uncultured bacterium. Its description in RNAcentral is "bacterial SSU rRNA". It matches the Rfam family "Bacterial small subunit ribosomal RNA", at positions 11 to 464 of the family's 1533-position model. The record is from RNAcentral.
GUUUGAUCCUGGCUCAGAACGAACGUUAGCGGCGCGCCUAACACAUGCAAGUCGAGCGAGAAAGGGCUUCGGCCCCGGUAAAGCGGCGCACGGGUGAGUAACACGUAGGCAAUCUGCCUCGAGGUGGUGGAUAACCCUCCGAAAGGAGGGCUAAUACAGCAUGAGACCACGUCGUCGAAAGACGAUGCGGCCAAAGCCGGCCUCUUCAUGAAAGCUGGCGCCACGAGAUGAGCCUGCGGCCCAUCAGCUAGUUGGUAGGGUAACGGCCUACCAAGGCAAAGACGGGUAGCUGGUCUGAGAGGAUGAUCAGCCACACUGGAACUGAGACACGGUCCAGACUCCUACGGGAGGCAGCAGUGGGGAAUCUUGCGCAAUGGGCGAAAGCCUGACGCAGCGACGCCGCGUGAGCGAUGAAGGCCUCGGUUGUAAGACUCUGUGGAGGGGGACGGAAGUAAGGGACGACGC